RNAcentral lists this long non-coding RNA (2143 nucleotides) under Mus musculus (house mouse). RNAcentral's name for it is "long non-coding RNA chr12:110236491-110238634". The record is from RNAcentral. Lineage: Eukaryota; Metazoa; Chordata; Mammalia; Rodentia; Muridae.
AGGAAUCAAGGUCCUAGCCUCAGAUCACUAUUCUGCAGAAGCCCUGCUAGUUUCCAGGGUCUAGAAACGCCACACUACCCUCUAAGCAGCCACUUCCAGCCUCACUUGUGGUCCCCUGACCCCCACUGACCCUCCCUGCCACAAGCAGGCUUUCUCCUGACUCAUCGAGGUAUAGAUACCCUGCAAGGCGGAGGUCAGCCGAGCAGCCUCCUGGCCAGCUCUAAGGAGCACUCUGCAUAAACAGCCCUACCACUAAUGAGAGCUUCCAAAGUAGCCUGCUCCCUGGGGACCCGGACUUCCAGUUCUCAGCAGCCAUGUGGGAAGGGAAAUGUUCCAGAGGCAUCCUGGUAGAGGUAGUCGGAGCCUAAGGUGAGAACAGGAGAGGAAGGAAUCCUAAGAAGGGUUGCAAGAGGAAUGCCGCUCUGCCUUGGGAGUCCUCAUGCCUCCCACCCCCGAUGCCAGGUCAACACAACGCUUGCCCAUCACAGGAUCAGAGUUGAAGGGAUGCCAGAGUCAUGGAUCUGGGAAAGAGGACCUGGGCCUCGGCCUGCUGCAUAGUGACAAGGCUGUCUGGGGAGCUGCUGAGUAUGAGCAAGCGUACAGUCCUGACAUCUGGAGAGACGUCUGUCAGUUUGGGCCACUGUGAGGGUUAUAAUUCCUCAGAAGAGCAGGGCUCCAAUGACGUGGAGCCUCAGAGCCUCAGCUCUGGACCUCUGCUUACCCUGUCCAGCUCCGCUGCACAACAGAAGUUUUCCUCCAGCACAGGAAGUCCAGAGUCCAUGGCCUUAGCGGGAAGCUCAUCUGCCUCCUGUACAAGUUUGCUUCCUCUAAUAAAGGGCUGGGGACCCUGAGGUCCAUCGCCCGGCCUGGGACAGGCCCCUAGAGGAAGGUAUUGGGGUCCUACUCCACCAGGGGCAGCCUAAGCAGAGCCUCUUCUUCACACCCCUAGAGUGUUAUAGGGACCCUGGUACAGCAGAGCCUCACUCCCUCUGUUAGAAUGCCCCCUCCCGCUGAGGCUGUUGUAAGGAGGUCUCUUGCUUUUUUUCCCCUCCAUCUCAGGAGCAAUUUCAGUCAACUCCUGAAAAGGAACUCAGAAAGGACAUAGAAAAAAAAAAAUAUAUAUAUAUAUAUAUAUUCUUCUCAGAAGCCCCUUUUACCCAGUAUCCAGUCUAUGUAAGUAGACAUAUAAGAAAGAGGUAUAGAGGGUUAAGGACCCCUAAAACUUAAGGCUCGAUAGGGGGAAACGUAAUGGUACUCCAUACCUGAGGCCCCUGAAGAUAGAGAAAUUACUACCACCUAUUGCUGCUCCUUAUAUCUGGUUCUGGGGCCCUGAGCUGGUUCAUCUGGGAGGACCACCACAAACUGUCUUUGCACCCUGCUUCAUCAACCUCAACAGCCCAGCUGCAAUGCCCAAAACCGCUUCAUGUCCCAGUCUAUGUGGCCUGUUGGUCAGUCCCUCCCAAAGCUAACCCCCUCCCUUAUAUGCCCAGAGUCUUCCAAACAGCUUUGCCUUUGCUGAGAGAGGUGGAUGAGCCAACAGAGUAAACACCAGGAGAAGUGGCGUGGCCCGUUUGGACUGCCAUGGGGAAAGGAGAGUCCCUUCCAGCCAGAGGGAGACAUGGAAGUUUGGAUUCAGAUCUAGAUCAUGAAGUAAGGGAGGUUUUGACAUCCAUCACUCAGAACAAUGUGGACCAGAAGGACCACAUGAGAAGACCAUCAGACUUGUAGAAGCUUCAAGCACCUGAGUCCCACACUCCUACCCAAGAGCUAUCCCAGGAUGGCCUCCUGCCACUCUGCUCUCCCAGGGGUCAGCCUGCAGGGAAGCAGCUACAACCUACAGUGGGGAAAUGGGAAAUGGGCACCAUCGUACCAGCAGUGACUCGAGAGUUUAGCUGCCUGGGGUAAGAGGUACAGGGUGGAACAGGGAGGGUAGGUUGGAUUUGGAAUCCAUCCGCAUCUGCAAGCCCGAGCCACCUUUCACCCUGCAGGGGCCUACCUUCUACCCCAUGCACACAGUGCUCUGUGGAGUGAUGCUAACAAGCACGGGAGCUAGUACUUUGUUUUCUGUUUUCAAUGUUCUUUCUUGGCAAAACAGAAAGCUGGCACCCGGAGACAGGAACUAAACUUGAUUUUUUGAAAUUUU